UUUUUACCGCGUGUUCGCAUAUUUGCGAGUCAUCCAACCCAUGAGUGGUUCGUUGUGAGUUGAUUGAAUCAAUCCCAUCUCUUGGUGGCAGGUUUUGGAUCGCGGUGAGAGAAUUGAGCUUUUGGUUGAUAAAACAGAAAAUCUGCAGUUCCAGGCUGACAGCUUCCAGAGGCAAGGCAGGCAAUUGCGACGUAAGAUGUGGCUGCAGAGUCUCCAAAUGAAGCUAAUGAUUGGAGGUGGAGUCCUUAUUCUGAUCAUCAUAAUAUGGCUUAUCGCCUGCGGAGGUUUCAAAUGCUAAGGUGCUAAGCAAACACGAAAUCGGCAAUUAUUAGGCAUCUGUUCUUCACUUGGUGUACAAAAUGUUAAUUGUUCCUGUAUACGUAAACUUUUGCAGAAUUUAAUACUCGACACUUGACAAUU
Malus domestica (apple) is the source of this 420-nucleotide long non-coding RNA. RefSeq lists it as uncharacterized. NCBI's taxonomy places the organism in Eukaryota, Viridiplantae, Streptophyta, Magnoliopsida, Rosales, Rosaceae. The record is from RefSeq and is a predicted model, not a curated record.